Cercocebus atys (sooty mangabey) is the source of this 101-nucleotide unclassified non-coding RNA. It matches the Rfam family "Y RNA". From Rfam's summary of the family: Y RNAs are components of the Ro ribonucleoprotein particle (Ro RNP), in association with Ro60 and La proteins. Lineage: Eukaryota; Metazoa; Chordata; Mammalia; Primates; Cercopithecidae. The record is from Ensembl.
GGCUGGUCCCAUAUAAUGGUGUUUACAACUAAUUGAUCAUAACUAGUUACAGAUUUCUUUGUUUCUUCGCCACUCCCACUGCUUCAUUUGACUAGCCCUAA